GCAAAUCUGCUUGCUUCUCUGCCAUUUCAGUCUCCCCCGCCCCCAAGCCUUGGCAGUGUGAUGCCAAAUCAACCUUUCUUUCCACCCACGGAGUGGUCUAGUUUGGUGGUUUCGCCACACCCUUAUUGGCACUGUGUGAAGUGAAAAGGCAAACAAAAAGCAGCGGGUGCCAUUUGAGUCCAAAGUGCAAACAGUCCGAACUCUCGGGAAGCAUCUGCGCGAGGCUAAGGGCAGUGGGGCUGGCGUGAAGGCAAGGAGAAAUGACAAGCCGACAAGGGACUUUCCAGGUUGUUCAAAGAGGCGUGAAAAAAUUCUGGAUGCAUGUGUCAUCUUGAUUUGAGAAUGGUUUCUCAGGCGGGCACCAACAACAGACCAAGUAAUGACACCCAAGUCAAAUUUGUUGAACCAGUGAAUUCGGGGGGCUCACCCAGUAACAAAG
Molecule: non-coding RNA, 439 nt
Organism: Myodes glareolus (Bank vole)
Lineage: Eukaryota; Metazoa; Chordata; Mammalia; Rodentia; Cricetidae
Source: RefSeq, a predicted model, not a curated record